RNAcentral lists this ribosomal RNA (387 nucleotides) under uncultured bacterium. Its description in RNAcentral is "bacterial SSU rRNA". It matches the Rfam family "Bacterial small subunit ribosomal RNA", at positions 30 to 417 of the family's 1533-position model. The record is from RNAcentral.
AUUGAACGCUGGCGGCGUGCUUAACACAUGCAAGUCGUGCGGUAACAGGCGUAGCAAUACGUGCUGACGAGCGGCGAACGGGUGCGUAAUACAUGGGAAUCUGCCUUUUAGUGGGGAAUAACCCGGCGAAAGCCGGGCUAAUGCCGCAUAAGAUCUUCGGAUGAAAGCGGGGGAUCGUAAGACCUCGCGCUGAUAGAUGAGCCCAUGCCGGAUUAGCUAGNGGUGAGGUAACGGCUCACCAAGGCGACGAUCCGUAGCUGGUCUGAGAGGACGGCCAGCCACACUGGGACUGAGACACGGCCCAGACUCCUACGGGAGGCAGCAGUGGGGAAUAUUGGACAAUGGGGAAACCCUGAUCCAGCGACGCCGCGUGUGUGAAGAAGGCCU